This is a non-coding RNA of Triticum urartu, 1752 nucleotides long. The record is from RefSeq and is a predicted model, not a curated record. NCBI's taxonomy places the organism in Eukaryota, Viridiplantae, Streptophyta, Magnoliopsida, Poales, Poaceae.
CCGUCUCUAGGUGGUCAGUUACUCGAUCUCGGUCAUCCGACUCAUCUCGGGCGAGUAUGUCAUUGGUGCGGACGCCGUGUCGGACAACAACAGUGCAAGCUCAUCGCUAGCUCAUAUGAGUCUUUGGUCGGCACCCUCCUACUGCCGCUCUGUGUGUUGGUGCCGACACCACACUCCUCACUUUUCUUAGACAAAGGGAAAGACGAACGCCGGCGUCAGCAAGGUUGUCACCUCCCCUCUCUCUUUAACUCUCUUAUUUUAUUUUUACAUCCUUGUCACAAUAUUGAUCUGUGUUGCUAUUGUUGUCUGAAUGAAGUGACCUGCUGUUGUUGUAAUAACAGAAGUGAGCUGCCGAUUUUUGAAUGAACUUGACUUGUUUGCAUAUUCUUGUAUGGGCAGAAGAAAUAUAGAAUUGACCUUGUGUACUAACUGUUGUAUGGAUGUCGGUGGCCAUCACCUGUCAAAGGAGGGUCACGCCAGAUGUUGUGGAGGUGACGCACUCGGCCGGCGAGGAGCUCCGGGUCAAUGACGGUGGUGGCUGAUGAGCAGAGUCUACUCAUUGAACAGUGACUGCUUCAGGAUUACGGGAGGAAGUUGGAGUAAAUCCUUGUGUUUGGCUUCAAUUUUUGGGUUUGGAUAUCUACCCAACAUAUAAACUGACUGCUGUACAAUGGAAGUUCUGUAUUUGUGAGAUAAGUUUCUAUAAUGCAGAACUGCAAGAAUAAUCCUAGAACCAUCUUUACAGUCUGAUGUUACUUAAUAAUAAAUAAUUAGUUACAUAUACCAGAGGAUUUAAAUGCUUAGCAUUUCAUGUCUUAGUUAGAAAUUGAUGUGUGAUUUCAAGGCUCAUAUUGGCUUUUCAUUAUCCUUCUUUUUCUCUGAAAGGCUAGAGAGAAAGUGUUAAAGGAAGCUUCACAGUUUUGUCAAUGAUCAAAAUUUUCUAGCUAAUUAUUAUUUACCCAUGUUUGCAUGAUGUUAUGUAAGUGAUUCUCUCUCUUUUUCUUUCUUUUCCACAUUUUAAAACUGCAGAUAUUGACUAUGAGAUGAAAUUGUCAUUGUUCAUAAUUUAAAUGUUUGACAAAAGGCCGGAGCGAAGAAUGCUAGCUUCUUAAUGCUACUUCACGGAUUUCCAUGUCGAUGUUGCCCCCUUUUGGACGGAGAUGGUUGUGUCAAAGGUGUCAAUGGCACAGGUUCUUCGCCAUAUCAGGCCUUUCAUGUGCCUACCUCAUGAAGCCAUUGAUCUGGUACUACAUAGAUUGAGGACGGGCUGAAGAAAAUGUGAGCCAUGGGAGGAGAGAUUUACUGGAGCAAGGUGAACGACGGUGCAGCGACCAGAUGUGAGACGCCGGGAAUGCAUGUUUUUCGUUCUUGAUGCCUUGGCUGUCGUACACAAAAGUGGAUGGGAGAUCUGCAAGUUAAAGAAAAUAUCAUGGUAUUCCUCUCAUGCACCUUGGUGUCACAUAAACCCUCAUAACCUCUGCAUCUCUGCCUUUACCGUUCGUCGCUUCUCUGUUCCUGACAAGUAUGGACUUCUCUUUCACUUCCUUGCUUGUGUAUAGAUGCUAUGAUGUAUUGUAAUAUGGAUUGGAUUUCAUAUACAUGUACUAUAUUUAUUUGAAGUGUUACACACAUGGCUCUUGGUCGUGUAACGACUCUUCUUCUAAUUGAUACGACAACAUUUCUUGUUCAUGGUGUAACUAUGAUCAUGCUUUAAGUAAUUUUUAUUACUGAUGUGAAUGCACUCAUGAUCUG